GACUACACGGGUAUCUAAUCCUGUUUGAUCCCCACGCUUUCGUGCCUCAGCGUCGGUAUAUCCCCAGCGAGCUGCCUUCGCUAUCGGCGUUCUGGUAGAUAUCUAUGCAUUUCACCGCUACACCUUCCAUUCCGCCCGCCUAGAGAUAACCCAAGCCCGACAGUAUCGAGGGCACUCCACAGGUUAAGCCUGUGGGUUUCACCCCCGACUUAUCGGGCCGCCUACGCACCCUUUAAACCCAAUAAAUCCGGACAACGCUUGCACCCUCCGUAUUACCGCGGCUGCUGGCACGGAGUUAGCCGGUGCUUAUUCUGGAGGUACACUCAAUUACCAACGCAUUGGCUUUUUGUCCCCUCCCAAAAGCAGUUUACAACCCAGAGGGCCUUCUUCCUGCACGCGGCAUGGCUGGGUCAGGCUUGCGCCCAUUGCCCAAUAUUCCCCACUGCAGCCGCCCGUAGG
This 459-nucleotide ribosomal RNA is filed under the name uncultured Sphingobacteriales bacterium. RNAcentral's name for it is "partial 16S ribosomal RNA". The record is from RNAcentral. Lineage: Bacteria; Pseudomonadati; Bacteroidota; Sphingobacteriia; Sphingobacteriales.